UCCUGGCUCAGGAUGAACGCUAGCUACAGGCUUAACACAUGCAAGUCGAGGGGGCAGCAUGUUGGUUGCUUGCAACCAAUGAUGGCGACCGGCGCACGGGUGAGUAACGCGUAUCCAACCUCCCCUUAGUAGAGGAUAGCCCGGCGAAAGUCGGAUUAAUACUCUAUGUUCUUCAAUGCGGACAUCUAAGUUGAAGCAAAGAUUUAUCGCUAAGGGAUGGGGAUGCGUCUGAUUAGGUUGCAGGCGGGGUAACGGCCCACCUGGCCUACGAUCAGUAGGGGUUCUGAGAGGAAGGUCCCCCACACUGGUACUGGGACACGGACCAGACUCCUACGGGAGGCAGCAGUGAGGAAUAUUGGUCAAUGGGCGCGAGCCUGAACCAGCCAAGUAGCGUGCAGGGAACCGACUGCCCUAUGGGUUGUAAACUGCUUUUAUCAGGGAAUAAAGUGAGGCACGCGUGCCUUUUUGUAUGUACCUGAUGAAUAAGGACCGGCUAAUUCCGUGCCAGCCGCUGC
RNAcentral lists this ribosomal RNA (515 nucleotides) under uncultured bacterium. Its description in RNAcentral is "bacterial SSU rRNA". It matches the Rfam family "Bacterial small subunit ribosomal RNA", at positions 17 to 518 of the family's 1533-position model. The record is from RNAcentral.